Molecule: long non-coding RNA, 3032 nt
Organism: Vespula vulgaris
Lineage: Eukaryota; Metazoa; Arthropoda; Insecta; Hymenoptera; Vespidae
Exons: 6
Source: RefSeq, a predicted model, not a curated record
CAAGAUAGCACGGGGUAAACAUCGUCCUCUUAAUUACAGAUCGAAAAAUCACGAAUUUUUAUGACGGCCAUGAAACUCGUGAGGCUAUGCGCAUGCGCGAUGUGGAAGAUGCGAUUAUCCUACCAACGCAUUAACGCCAUUUUGGAUUCGUGCGUGCCAGACUGCAGGAGAAUUUCAUCGUCCUCGUAAUUACAGGGAAUCCCUUCUACCGAGGCAACAACAAUAUACGACCGAACGUUCGCUUUGUAGCAGUCGUAGAAGUACGGUCAUUCUGUUACGAACCUUCUCGCAAGUAAUACACGGUUUUAUCAGAGAGAAACUCGAGACGGUUUUGUUCGCUACUUCGUAAUUGGAUCUCCACAUACAACAAUCUCUUAAUGGAGAUUUGAAAUCUUAAUUGUUGGAGAUUUCGGUGCAAUUCAAUAGUAAUUUAUUUUUUUAUACCUUCAAUUCAAUUAAUGUAUUUUUCAAUUCUUAAAUAUUGAGCCUUCAGGGAUGAUUUACAGGUAUUAUAUGGUAUUUAUUGUAUGUUUUAAUAAGCUAUUUUUCAGUAAUACAUCUGGCAGCUUGAAGAAAUGUUUUUGUGACCGUGUGCAAAGCGGUCUUAGAGUCAGUGUUUGCUCGUUAUAUAUAUUUUAAAUAUAAUUAAAUUUGUAAAAUCUAAAAUUCGCGAAUUAGAGUCAUGCUCGUAUUAGUGCGUUCUUCACGAUCCUGGGGCAGGAUGCUCGUCGGGCAAGGGCCAUCAAACGCUUCAAUCAUCGUUGCAGUAGUGCGCGAAUUAGAGUCAAUCUUUGCUCGUAAUAUUUUUAUUAAUUAAAAUAAGAUUAGAGUCAUCAAAUAAAUUCGCGAAGUAGAGUCAGUGUUUAUGUUGACGCAUGAUCCAGAGGCAGGAUGCUCAUCGUGCAAGGAGAAAUGAAGACUUUGACAAUCAUUGCAUUCGUGCGCGUGGCAAUGAAUAAAUCGAGUGUUGUAUCGAUCAAAUAAAAGAAGAAUCGCGUAAGUCGAGUCAGUGUUUGUUCGUUGAUAAAAAUUUUACCGCGUGUCGCGAUUUAUAAAGUAAUUUUUAGAAAAAAUAUAUUUGAAUCGACUGCGUGCAAGGCAGUCAUUAAUAGAGUCAGUGUUUGUUCGCAAAGUAUUUUGUAUUUGUUUACAGUCGCACAGACUGUAUUUAUAACAUAUAGUAGAUUUUCGCGAAGUAAAUUCAGUGAUCGUCCGUUAAUAAAUAACUAUCGCGAAUUAGAGUCAGUGCAUCACUGAAGAGGAUCUCGACCAACUUCGAUGUCGACCUACCUCAUUUUCAACCAACUACGAAUCUUCCACCCUCAAUUUCGACCUAAAUCGCGGUCCAGUGUUUUGGAGCCAUCGUAGAACUUCUUAAGUAGUAAGUUAAUUUUUAAGUCCCUCCGAUUACUCAAUCAUGUCGAGGACAAAAGGUCCGAAUCGACACGAGUAAUUGGUUGUAAUUAUUUCAUUCAAUUAUUGACGAGCAUGACCGUGAGUAACUCCUUCUUUGGAUUUACUCGCGAGUGGUAUAUAUUUUCCAUUGUACAUAUUUCUUUUUAUUAGUUCAGGAUAGGAUCUUCUUGCAUCAUUCGAGUAAUUUAAUUACAAGUGCAAUUAAUUAGCACUUUUCUCGUACGUAUUUGUUCGCGAUAUUAGUCACGAAAUCGGACAUUCAUUUGUCCGAUUUCUUUGAAAAAAAAAGCAUGUGACAUGAUUUACAUGCAUUGCUUCGUACAUAGUUUAUUCAAUCGCGAUCUACUUAGAUAUAUCGUUAUGAAUUUAUUAAAAAAUAUGCAAGAAGACAAUCGCGACGGAUAGAUUCUGAAAAAUAAGCGAUAGAUUAUGAUCUUGUUCAUUGAUUAGAAUAAUCGCUUGUUGGGAAGAAUCGUCCGAGGAUUUUUUAAUUAUUAUUACAUAUAAAUUUCAUAAAUAUUCCAUUAAUUCUCUUGAUGAAUAGAAAGUCUCAGUAGAGUCAUUGUUUUUGAAAGGAAAAAUAAAGUCGAGUAGAGUAAUUGCUAAAAAAACAAAGAGACUUAUAGAGUCAUAGACCGUAGGCCCUAGAUAAUAAGUUAAUCAAUUUUUAGAUCAGGAUUUUCAGCUUCUAAUAUACUAAUUCCCGUUUCUCCCCCCCAUUUUUCUGCGUUUUCAUCUAUGCGUGUACCCAGGUGUUACUCGUAUAGGUGAGAAACAGUUAAUAUGGGUUUAGUUUUAAGUUUUUCCCCAUUCGGCGGCUGUCAUAGUGUUAGUGAUUGUGCCCAAUGUACGAUUUCACCUGUGUGUGCGUGUUAGGUGGUGAAUCGUAUGUUGGUUCGCGAUAACUUUUAAAUAAAUAUCUUGCAUAUUUAAUUUAAUUUAAUUAUUACUAUUUAAUUUUAUUAAUAUAUUAUUAUUAAUAUCGUUUUGUAUACGUAGUAUAUAAUAGCAGACAUUUUGUCUGAAAACUUUGAAAUACUCGUACAUGACUAGUAUGUAUAUAUACUAGUAUGUACUAGUAUCUUUUGCUUUAGUUAUUUACGCAAUAAUCAUUAGCCUUGACAGUCGAUUACAGCAAUUGGUACGUAACCCUAAUUAGUUGAUAUACGCGGUUGAGCUAGGGUGUCGGAGAUGCCCCGGGGCAUACUCUCUAGUGUAGGCUUUUUUGCGCCCUGGCGGUAUGUGAGAGAACCGUGGAGUGUAUGUGUUGGAAUGAAUGUUUUGCUAUUUUUUAAAUAUAGGUUAUAGGCAGGCAGGUAGCAUAUCUUUCUGUGUGAAUGUAUAUUUAAUUUUAAGCAGGUAGGACCGGAUGAGACGCAGGGUAUAAUUUCCAGUCAGGAAUGAAAAAUGACGUCUCCGGAUAUUUGCAAAGUUUCAGCAAUUUUUAAAAAAAUUUUUCAUGUUCUAUUUUUUUUUUCUUUUUCUUUUUUCUUUUUUUUCCAUAUUUGCUGACACUUUGUAUUUCAAUAUACAUAUAUCAGUAUCCAACAGUUUAAAAAUCUUUGUGCAUUUGUUUAGAAAUUUUUUUCUAUCUAAUUAGCAAAGACUUUUUAACA